Molecule: long non-coding RNA, 3232 nt
Filed under: Homo sapiens (human)
Lineage: Eukaryota; Metazoa; Chordata; Mammalia; Primates; Hominidae
Description: HSALNT0038317
Source: RNAcentral
CUAAUCUGUAUUUGGACAUAGGUCCUAUAACGAGGUAAUCAAGGUUAGAUGAGGUCAUAAAAGUGGGGUCUUGAUACAAUAGGAAGAAGAGACUUCUAACAAGAGACAAUGGAGAGCUUUUUCUCUCUUUCACCACACACAAAGAAGAGGUCAUGUGAGCACCCAGCAAGAUGGCGGCUACCUACAAGCCAGGAGAAGCAGCCUCAGAAUGAAAACUAUCUUGCUGGCACCUUGACCUUGGACUUUCCAGCUUUCAGAACUGUGAGAAAACAAAUCUCUGUUGUUUUAGCCACACAGUCUGUGGUAUCUUGUUACGACAGCCGAGCAGACUAAUACAAGGAAUAUGACUUCAUUUAUAUGAAGGAGGAAAAGCUUUGGUGGGAAAUGAUGAGACCACAACCCACUGGUGAAAGAGUUCUAGGUUCAUAGUAGACACUAAGAAAAUGGAGUCGCCUGCUUGGAAAUCGCCAUAUGCCCUGGAGAAGCCCAAAAGGGUUCAGGAAACGGGCACGUCAAUGAGUGGCUGGCAUGAUAGACGUCCUUCCACCUUUCUCAGAUUCUCUACAUCCAGGAGAAGACAUAUGGCAGAGAAGAGAAAGGGAAGACACUGGAAACAAGGGGUCCUAUGCACACAUCAAGACUUCACUACUUAUAUGUGUAUGACCUUAUGAAUUAUUAACCUCUCUUACCUUCAACUUCUUGACCAAUGAAAUAGGAAAGACAGUAUAGUCCAUGCAGAAUUAUUGUGAGAAUAUAAUUAAGGAGAUAAUAAUCAUAAAACAUCCGGAAAUCAAUAAAUAUAUAUAUAUAAUCACUGUAACAGGAAAAAUGAAACCAUCUUUUACUUGAAGGCAAAGGCUCUGAGUUUUGGGGGAAAAAUAGUCACCAAUGUUUCUCAAAUUUAAAGGCAACAGUUUGGCAUUCUCAAAUACAAAAUAGUUCAGUUAAAAGUGGUUGAGAGUCCCUCUUUUAAAAAAAAUUCACAAACAAGCUGGGAGCAGUGGCUCAUGCCUGUAAUCCCAGUAUUUUUGGAGGUCGAGGUGGGUGGAUCACUUGAGGUCAGGAGUUUGAGACCAGCCUGGCCAACGUGGUGAAACCUUGUCUCUACUAAAAAUACAAAAGUUAGCCGGGCAUGGUGGUGCACACCUGUAAUCCCAGCUACUUAGGUGGUUGAGGUAGGAGACUUGCUUGAAUCUGGGAGGCAGAGUUUGCAGUAAGCCAAGAUCGCGCCACUGCAGUCCAGCCUGGGCAACAGGGCCUGAGUGAGACUCCAUCUCAAAAAAAUAAAAAAUAAAUAAAAAUAAAAAUUACAAACAGAUGCACAAAUGCAAUCAAUCAAAAGAUGAUUUGAGAAACUGUUCUAAGGGUAAGUUCCACAGUCAAUAAAGAAGACCAUGGUAGUCACUUCCAAGAUGGCUGAAUAGGAACAGCUCCGGUCUGCAGCUCCCAGUGAGAUUGAUGCAGAAGGUGGGUGAUUUCUGCAUUUCCAGCUGAGGUACUGGGUUCAUCUCAUUGGGACUGGUUGGACAGUGGAUGCAGCCCAUGGAGGGUAAGCCAAAGCAGGGAGGGGCGUCGCCUCACCCAGGAAGCUCAAGGGGUUGGGGGAUUUUCCUUUCCUAGCCAAGGGAAGCCAUGACAGACUGUAUCUGCAGAAACAGUUCACUCCUGACCAAAUACUGCGCUAUUCCCACGGUAUUAGCAACCGGCCGACCAGGAGAUACCCUCCCGUGCCUGGCUCAGCCAGUCCCACGACCAUGGAGCCUUGCUCACUGCUAGCGCAGCAGUCUGAGAUCGACCUGCGAUGCUGCAGCUGGAUGGCGGGGGUUGUCCACCAUUGCUGAGGCUUGAGUAGCUCAACAGUAUAAACAAAGAGGCUGGGAAGCAGGAACUGGGCAGAGCCCACUGCAGCUCAGCAAAGCCUAAUGCCUCUAUAGAUUCCACCUCUGGGGGCAGGGCAUAGUAGAACAAAAGGCAGCAGACAGCUUCUGCAGACUUAAAUGUCCCUGUCUGACAGCUCUGAAGAGAGCAAUGGUUCUUUCAGCAUGGCGUUUGAGUUCCGAGAAAGGACAGACUGCCUCCUCAAGCAGGUCCCUGACCCCCGUGUAGCUUCACUGGGAAACACCUCCCAGUAGGUGCCAACAGACACUCAAACAGGCAGAUGCCCUUCUGGUACGAAGUUUCCAGAGGAAGGAUCAGGCUGUUCUGCAGCCUGAUUUGCUGUUCUGCAGCCUCCCCUGGUGAUACCCAGGCAAACAGGGUCAGGAGUGGACCUCCAGCAAACCCCAACAGACCUGUAGCUAAGGGAUCUGACUGUUAGAAGGAAAACUAACAAACAGAAAGGAAUAGCAUCAACAUCAACAAGAAGGACAUCCACACCAAAACCCCAUCUGUAGGUCACCAACAUCGAAGACCAAAGGUAGAUAAAACCACAAAGAUGGGGAGAAACCAGAGCAGAAAAGCUGAAAAUUCCCAAAAACAGAGCACCUCUUCUCCUCUAAAGGAUCACAGCUCCUCGCCAACAAGGGAACAAGACUAGAUGGAGAAUGAGUUUCACGAGUUGACAGAAGUAGGCUUCAGAAGGUCGGUAAUAACAAAGUUCUCCAAGCUAAAGGAGCAUGUUCUAAUCCAUCACAAGGAAGCUAAAAACCUUGAAAAACUGUUAGAUGAAUGGCUAACUAGAAUAAAUAGUGUAGAGAAGACCUUAGAUGACCUAAUGGAGCUGAAAACCAAGGCAUGAGAACUUCAUGACAAAUGUACAACCUUCAAUAGCUGAUUCAAUCAAGUGGAAGAAAGGAUAUCAGUGAUUGAAGACCAAAUUAAUGAAAUAAAGUGAGAAGACAAGAUUAGAGAAAAAAGGGUGAAAAGAAAUGAACAAAGCCUCCAAGAAAUAUGGGACUAUUUGAAAAGACCAAAUAUAAGUUUGAUUGGUGUACUGGAAAGCGACACGGAGAAUGGAACCAAGUUAGACAACACUCUUCAGGAUAUUAUCCAGGAGAACUUCCCUAACCUAGCAAGGCAGGCCAACAUUCAAAUUCACGAAAUACAGAGAAUGCCACAAAGACACUCCUUGAGAAGAGCAACCUCAAGACACAUAAUUGUCAGAUUCACCAAGGUUAAAAUGAAGGAAAAAAUGUUAAGGGCAGCCAGAGAGAAAGGUCAGGUUAUCCACAAAGGGAAGCCCAUCAGACUAACAGUGGAUCUCUCAGCAGAAACCCUACAAGCCAGAAGAGAG